AAUCACCGAGACAGAGAAAAUACAUCAUUAAUUCUUCCCUACAUUUUUAUUAUUUCUUUUUCUUCCAUCAACUUUUGUUCCCCAACUCCUCCACACCAUUAUCAUCACUUUUCCCCACCACUUUCACUCAAGUGAUCCAACCCCUACUCCAGCCAACCCUACUUCUGCACCUUGUACUAGCACACUCAAGUGUGUACCAACAACUUCUCCUUUAACCUCACACUGCAGUCUCAAUUCACCACUCUCCUCAUUUUUACACUUAGAAGCUUUUGGAGAAGCAGGGACCUUCAUCCGGUGCUCUGCCACUUCAAGGUAAACUUUGGCUACAUUUUUUUCCACCUUAUUCCUUAGCAUCACCUGCACUUAU
This 367-nucleotide long non-coding RNA is filed under the name Salvia miltiorrhiza (redroot sage). Its description in RNAcentral is "long non-coding RNA (SMIL_LNC008864)". Lineage: Eukaryota; Viridiplantae; Streptophyta; Magnoliopsida; Lamiales; Lamiaceae. The record is from RNAcentral.